AAUGAAAACAUGGACUCCCCAUAUUCACAGCAGAGAAGUUUUUCACAUUGAACACAGACCAGAGAAGUGUUUCCACUAAUUUAUAUCUGAUAUGUGAAGGGCUAAGAAGUCAUCACUCCCAUCUUCAUAACAAGAAAAAAAGCUGAACAAACUGGAAAUCAACAACUAUGCUUAGGUUCAUCAGAAAACUGAGGUCAUUGGCUAAAUUGCAGCCCUGGAAGACAGACACAUGGAUACAGAGAAUCAUAGCUUAACAGGAACAGAAAACUGGAAGCAGAAGGCCUUAGCUUUCUGUAGGAACACUAACUGUCAUUGGUGAAUUGCUGGAAGGUUAGUGUGGACUAGCUUGUGAGUUAAAAAAUCCAAAGGGACCCAGUCUCAGGGGCACCCCGCACUUUCAUGAGUUUUACCUCCAGGAAACCUACCAGGUUCUCAAUAUCCCCUGUGCUUCUGGCAGGGAGAGGAAAGCUCUGAAAUACAUCCAGACCUCUCUGAUCUCCUUAAAAAAGCUUGUCCCUAAGGGAAUCUAUUUUACCAGAACCUAACAGGCUGGAGUUUUACCAAAGCCUGAUCAACAAAAUAUCCAACUCAGGCUCGCUAAAAGACUGAGACUUAAUUAUGGACAGGAGAACACUUCCUCUUCUCCCACACCUUGCGACCACAUCAAUAAGGCUAUUGUAUAAUAACAGGGGAUUACAGCAAAAAGAACUGCAGGCCUCUGACCAUAUUUAAAGAGUGCCAAAGGAAACCCAAAGACAAUAGAGUAGACAAAAGCAAGGAUACUAGAGGAAAUUUUAGUCUCUGACACUAUAGCUACAGCAAAUAGUAAGCAGAAUCUAACUCCUAGUCACAUAAAUAUAAAACCUUGCACUAAAGACCUAUCUAUCACAGUUCCUUUUAUAUCAUAUCCAGCCUUCAACAAAGAAUUACAAGCCACUCUAAAAGGCAAAAACAAAGUCUGAAGAGACAAAGCAAGCAUCAGAACCAGACUCAAGUGUGGCACAGAUUUGGGAACUAUCAGACAAGGAAUUUAAAACAACUAUGAUUAAUACGCCAAUGGUUCUAAUGGAAAAAGUGGACAGUGCAAGAACAAGUGAGUAAUAAAAGCAGAGAGAUGAAAGUGCAAAGAAGGAAACAAAUGAAAAUGCAAGAAAUCAAAAACACUGUAACAUAAAUAAUGCCUUUGAUGGGCUCAUAAGUAGAUUGGACAUAGCUGAGGAAAGAAUCAGUGAGCUUAAAGAUGAGUCCACAGAAACUCCCCAAACUGAAAUGCAAAAAGAAAAAAGAAAUAAAAA
This is a long non-coding RNA of Homo sapiens (human), 1295 nucleotides long. Ensembl annotates it as LURAP1L antisense RNA 1. Its record names the gene LURAP1L-AS1. Lineage: Eukaryota; Metazoa; Chordata; Mammalia; Primates; Hominidae. The record is from Ensembl.